Molecule: non-coding RNA, 21 nt
Organism: Caenorhabditis elegans
Lineage: Eukaryota; Metazoa; Nematoda; Chromadorea; Rhabditida; Rhabditidae
Source: Ensembl
UAACUAGUGCAGUACACGGUG